This 264-nucleotide ribosomal RNA is filed under the name uncultured archaeon. RNAcentral's name for it is "partial 16S ribosomal RNA". It matches the Rfam family "Archaeal small subunit ribosomal RNA", at positions 719 to 982 of the family's 1478-position model. The record is from RNAcentral.
ACACGUCUACAUUAGAUACCCGCGUAGUCCCAGCCGUAAACUAUGCGCGUUAGGUGUAUCGGUGACCACGAGUCACCGAGGUGCCGAAGGGAAACCGUGAAACGUGCCGCCUGGGAAGUACGGUCGCAAGGCUGAAACUUAAAGGAAUUGCGGGGGAGCACCACAACGGGUGGAGCCUGCGGUUUAAUUGGACUCAACGCCGGGAAGCUCACCGGAUAAGACAGCGGAAUGAUUGCCGGGCUGAAGACUCUGUAUGACUAGCUG